RNAcentral lists this ribosomal RNA (892 nucleotides) under uncultured bacterium. RNAcentral's name for it is "bacterial SSU rRNA". It matches the Rfam family "Bacterial small subunit ribosomal RNA", at positions 8 to 916 of the family's 1533-position model. The record is from RNAcentral.
AGAGUUUGAUCCUGGCUCAGGAUGAACGCUGGCGGCGUGCUUAAUACAUGCAAGUCGAACGGAGGUAUGUAGCAAUACGUAUCUUAGUGGCGAACGGGUGAGUAACGCGUUGGUGACCUACCCCAGAGAGGGGGAUAACAGUUCGAAAGGACUGCUAAUACCCCAUGUGGUCAUGGUAGUUAGAGAGCCAUGACUAAAGGUGCAAACCGCUCUGGGAGGGGCCUGCGUCCCAUCAGCUAGUUGGUAGGGUAACGGCCUACCAAGGCGACGACGGGUAGGGGGCCUGAGAGGGUGAUCCCCCACACUGGCACUGAAACACGGGCCAGACACCUACGGGUGGCAGCAGUAGGGAAUAUUGCACAAUGGGCGAAAGCCUGAUGCAGCAACGCCGCGUGUGCGAUGAAGGCCUUCGGGUCGUAAAGCACUUUUCGGGGAGAUGAGGAAGGACAGUAUCCUCGGAAUAAGGAUCGGCUAACUACGUGCCAGCAGCCGCGGUAAAACGUAGGAUCCGAGCGUUAUCCGAAUUCAUUGGGCGUAAAGCGCGUGCAGGCGGUCCGGUAAGUUGGAUGUGAAAUCUCCCGGCUCAACUGGGAGAGGUCGUUCAAUACUGUCGGACUCGAGGACGGUAGAGGGAGGUGGAAUUCCCGGUGUAGUGGUGAAAUGCGUAGAUAUCGGGAGGAACACCAGUGGCGAAGGCGGCCUCCUGGACCGUUCCUGACGCUCAGACGCGAAAGCUAGGGGAGCAAACGGGAUUAGAAACCCCGGUAGUCCUAGCCGUAAACUAUGUAGACUUGGUGUCGGUGGUGUAAAAACCAUCGGUGCCGUAGCUAACGCGUUAAGUCUACCGCCUGGGGACUACGGCCGCAAGGUUAAAACUCAAAGGAAUUGACGG